Molecule: long non-coding RNA, 4106 nt
Organism: Equus asinus (donkey)
Lineage: Eukaryota; Metazoa; Chordata; Mammalia; Perissodactyla; Equidae
Source: Ensembl
CUAACACACAGUGCUGGGAAUGCGGUGUCAGAGGGCAGCCCGAGAGCCGCACUGGGAGGGGAGCGGGCGGCAGGCGCGGGUCCCACCAGGCUCAGCGGCCACAGCACUGGGCUGUGGGGGCUGCAGGGCGUCCUCUCGUCCUGGGACAGGAGACAGAGGCCCCAGGCUGCGCGUCCUUCUCCAGCAGCGUUGCUGCCUUCAAACAGCACUUCCGAAAGUGUCCGCAGGCGGACACAAAGGGCUCUCAGGAGCUGGGGGAGGGCGACACCUCUUUGCCAGGAGAAUGCAAGGAGGCCCUUCCAUACUCCUGCCACACCUGGGGUGGCCAACAGGGGAGACACCGCCCACGUUUACAUUGUAAACAUGUGCGUAAUUUAGCCUCUCUUUUUCUGGUUAAACGUUACCCACAGCUGCCUGCUGGAUGGGAAAGAUGGCCAACAGAUCACCGAGCAGCGUCCUGCUGGGCGGAUGGAGCGCAGUUGUCCAGGCAUCCGCUGAAGGGCAUCCGGAGUGUUUCCAGUUUCAUACCAUGGAUAAAGCUGCUGGAAACAUUCAUGCGCAGAGCUCUGAAUGAGCAUAUGUUUUCACUUCUCCUGGGUAAACACCUAGGACUGGGGUCUCUGGGUUAUAGGAUGAGUGUAUUUUAACUUUAUGGGAGUCUGCCGAACUGUUUCCAGAGCAGUUUGCAUUUCCACCAGCCACGUAGGAGAGUCGCAGCGGCUCCACAUCCUUACCCGUACUUGGUAAGGGCAGUCAGUUUCAUUCUAGCCAUACUAGUGCGGGUUUAGAGCUGUCCACUGUCGUUUUCACUUCCGCCCCUCGUCCUCACAGAGAGCCACAGGCUCAGGGACAGCGCUCAAGGCUCAGCACUCAUGGUCUUCUCUGAAGGCCGUAGCUGGGGGAGGCGACUCCCAGGGACCCAAGUCAAAGCACGUGGAGAGAAGCUUCACCUCUGGAGGACAAACCCGAAGCCCGGCUUUGUUUCAAGCUUGGUUUACCCGUUACCCACCUGCCUUGUCAUCAAGAAGACUAAUCUAACCGGGUGGCUGCUCUGGGUUUGAAAGGAGGGGCUGACUUGGCUCCACCCACUGGGCCACAGUCUAGACAUCGACCUCCCUGAACCCGCUGGGCGUCUCCUCAGGACCUGAUCAAAGAAGAGGUAUAUUAACAGUGUGUCAGGCACCGUUCCAAGCGUUGGCGACCUGGUCUCGGCCCUCACAGAGUUUACUGUCCAGUGGAGGAGACAGACACUAAAGAAGCAACUACACAAGUUGUGCGUGUCACAAAGGCAAGUACAGUGACCCUUAGGCACAUAACAAGUGGACUUAACCCGAUCCCGGGAGCAGACAGGUGCUCAAGCGUUCCAGCAGCGGAAAGAAAGUGUGCAGAGCUCCAAGGAGGAGGCUGCAGGGGGAGCUGGAUGAAACAGGUGACGCCCAGCCCAGCCAGAGCUGAGAGAGAACAUCCAGGGCCCGGUUCACUGCAGCGGGGGCCUCGGCCACCGUGUUUUCGCCAAGGUCCCCAGGCUGUCCCGAGGCCCCCAGUGCUUGAGAACCACCGCCUGGAGGAAUGACCCACUGGGCCACCUUGUCCACACCGCGCCCAGCACAGCCCCUCCCCAGAUGGAGCUGACUCCCGGCAGACCUGCUGGAGUUAACUCUCCACACUGGGCAAUCCUCUCGCACUUCGUUAAUUUUUUUGCAGACUGUGGGGUUUUUGCUUUUCAUUAUUAUAUACCCUUAUUUUUAAAAUCAGCUUUAUUCAGGUAUAAUUUACAUACACCAAAAUUUACCAAUUUUAAAUAAAAAUUCAAAGAGUUUCGACAAAUGUACACAGUUGUAAAACAACCAUCACCUAAAAAAGUUCUCUCCAGCCCUUUGCAGUCAGUCCCCGUCCGCCACCCCGGGCCCUGGCCACCGCCAACCAGCUUUCUGAAAGCACAGUUCCACAUUUCUGUACUUUUGCGUGAAUGGAAUCAUCCGGAAUGUAGUCUUCUGUACCCAGAUUCUCUCCUGUGUGGAACGCUUUUGAGAUGCGUCUGCUGUGGCGGAUCGGAGUUCACUCUUUUUAGUGGCGAACUGGUUUCCAGUGUAGGGGUUGCUACAAUUUGUUCAGCACUUGAUGACACGAGUUGUUUGUGGUGCGUGUCUGUUACGGAUAAAGCGUCUGUGAAAGACAAGCACGAGUCUGUGUGUGACCGGGCUUUCAGUUGUCCUCAGUGAACACCUGGCAGUGGGAUGGCUGGGCCACCUGGUGCGUGUAGCUUAACCCUAUGAGAAGCUGCCACCCGGGCUCCAGAGUGGCGUUUUGCAUUUCCAGGCAAAAUAUGGGAGCGCUCCAGCUCCUCCAUGUCCGUGUGGAAACUCGGCACGUCCGUCUUCUUCACGGAGCCGUUUCAGGUUGCGUCUCCAUAAAACCACUCUUCCUGCCCGGAAAAAACACGGUUGAAAGGGACAAACGCCCCGUCAGGCGGCUUUCGUAGGAGUGUGGGGGGGACCGGAAGGGCUGGUCGCCUGCGGCCGCUUCCCCCCGCGGAGCGCGGCUGCCGGGAAGGGCCGGGGAGGGAGGAUUCGCCUUCGAACGCGCCCAGCGCCCAGCACGGAGGACACCGGGACGCGAGCAGGGCUGGCCGGGAGCAGGCCGCGCUGGAGGGACAGGCCGCCCCUGACCCGUGGGGGCGGGGACCCCGCCAGUGGAGGGGGAGGGCGAGGCAGAGAGGGGGCUCUUGUCUCCUUGUGAAGUGAACCCUCCCAGGCCGGGAGUUACAAGUCGUGCUUAGCUGUGUUUUGAAAUAACUCCCUGUUACAGCAGCUCCCGAUUAGUUCCAUGCUAACCUACAAAGCAGCUGAUCCUGGGGGCACUGUGUCCCCUCGGGGGCACAGACCCUCCCCACGAGUUGCUCAGAGAUCAAUGAGGAAGUGAAGGGCACUGACCGUCAUUUCUGACCUGUUUCCAAGGACGGAUUCUCUGACGCCCUCUCAGGUCUCUGAUCUAGUCAUUCGUGGCCUCUUCCUGAGUGGGCCUGGACACGCGAAACGGCAGCCACGCAGCCAACAUCACUGCCACUCGGGUGACAAGGUGAUGUUCAGGGCCCUGACUUUGCAAAGUUUAAUUGACACAGUUUCUGUCUUCCAGGAUUCCAGCAGCCGUGCUGCUAAGGCCGCAGGCCCUGAGGGGCCAGCCUCAGCUCUGUUUCCCAGAAGCCACACAAACCCCUGUUUUCACCCCAUCUCAGAGCAGACUGAAAUGGGGGUCGCCCACAGAAAGGACGCCACGAAGACUGAGCGGCUAUAAAAGUAUGGCGAUCAGCCACACAGCUGCCGCUCGCCAGGUCUGUCAAGAGGCCAGGCAGCCCGGAGUGUUCCGGGGGAGAAAAAUGCUAUCUGAUUGGAGAAGAGAAAAUGGAGCUCCGGCUGAAACCACUUUGCCUUCCACAGCAUCUUUUUAAUCCCUUUGUCUGGUGCAUGACAUCAGUUCCCAGAACAGGGGGUUAUUAAUAACUGUGGGACCUUUUCCCAGUCUCCAGAUCAAUUGGCAGAAGCCUCUGGUUACUUCCUUCUGGAUGCUUCUGUUAUUCAGAGCUGGAAGUGGCCUCCUCCUUGAAACCCGUGUAGUUUUCACCUGGCUUGGGAAUUGCACGGUGCCUCCCAGCCCCUAACCCACUGAGCUGGAUCGUGAGGAGGCCUUGCCCCCGCGCACCUUCCUGAGCUGGCUCAGCGCUCGGCUGGCGUCUUUGCUCCUCUGAGAUGCUCCUGCUGUCUCCAGGGGGGUGCAGCCUGUGCCUCUCCUCCCGCUGGCUCCUCACUGCCAAGUGCAGACCCAGUCAUGACAGGAUCUGUGGAGUUGGCCAGAUUUAGCACAAGGUCACUUUGAGCUGGCUCCUCAACUCGUAUCUGUGGAGGCCCCCAGUCAGCUGCUGGGCAGGUGCUAAGCAAGCCCAGAUCUCAGUUUGUGGACAUUGGGGUGGACACUUCUCCAGAAGGAGGUCCUUGGCAGCAGCUCGCAUGGCAGGGGAGGGUCAUAAAUGCACUUGCCCUCAGCUUUCCUCUUGCUCUUUCACCCUCUCUGGGGCCUGGCCAUGCCCGUGGCUCUGCCAGGAUCUCCUC